This 401-nucleotide long non-coding RNA is filed under the name Elaeis guineensis (African oil palm). Its description in RNAcentral is "long non-coding RNA (EGUI_LNC034654)". Lineage: Eukaryota; Viridiplantae; Streptophyta; Magnoliopsida; Arecales; Arecaceae. The record is from RNAcentral.
UUCCUUAAUUAGUCAUAAUGGUUAUGACUAACCUAGUGACAUGGGCUAACUCGAGUUCAAUAAAGUAAUCUAAUACAAAAUAUAAUCUCUCAAAAUGGUCAGAUAAGUUAAGAUGUGUGGAAGUUCCCCUAUUGCUUUCUUUAGAUACCAAUAAAUUGAUCAGAUUAGACAAUAGAAUCAAUUAAAGAACUACAAUCUAUGUAGUUACCUUAGACACCAAAUUAGUUGAUUAGAAUUGAUCAGGUUAGCCUAUUGACCGGGCUCAAACCAUUGAGCCGAAUAAGGUCUCAAGUUGAUCGAUAACAUAUGGCUGUUAACCGAUCUGACCAAACUUACAACUACUUAGGUUGGUCAUGAGCACAUUUGAUCCCCUCUUAAUCAAUAUUUAAUUUGGUUUGAUC